AGAGUUUGAUCCUGGCUCAGAAUCAACGCUGGCGGCGUGCCUAACACAUGCAAGUCGAACGAGAAAGGGGAGCAAUCCCUGAGUACAGUGGCGACCGGGUGAGUAACACGUGACUACCUACCCUUGAGUGGGGGAUAACCUCGGGAAACCGAGGCUAAUACCGCAUAAUAUCGAAAGAUCAAAGGAGUAAUCCGCUUUUGGAGGGGGUCGCGGCUGAUUAGCUAGUUGGUGAGGUAAUGGCUCACCAAGGCGAAGAUCGGUAUCCGGCCUGAGAGGGCGCACGGACACACUGGAACUGAAACACGGUCCAGACUCCUACGGGAGGCAGCAGUGGGGAAUUUUGCGCAAUGGGGGAAACCCUGACGCAGCAACGCCGCGUGGAGGAUGAAGUCCCUUGGGGUGUAAACUCCUUUCGACCGGGAAAAUUAUGAUGGUACCGGUGGAAGAAGCACCGGCUAACUCUGUGCCAGCAGCCGCGGUAAUACAGAGGGUGCGAGCGUUGUUCGGAAUUAUUGGGCGUAAAGGGCGCGUAGGCGGUGUUGUAAGUCACCUGUGAAACCUCUGGGCUUAACUCAGAGCCUGCAGGCGAAACUGCAAUGCUGGAGGGUGGGAGAGGUGCGUGGAAUUCCCGGUGUAGCGGUGAAAUGCGUAGAUAUCGGGAGGAACACCUGUGGCGAAAGCGGCGCACUGGACCACUACUGACGCUGAGGCGCGAAAGCUAGGGGAGCAAACAGGAUUAGAUACCCUGGUAGUCCUAGCCCUAAACGAUGAUUGCUUGGUGUGAUCGGUACCCAAUCCGAUCGUGCCGCAGCUAACGCGAUAAGCAAUCCGCCUGGGGAGUACGGUCGCAAGGCUGAACUCAAAAGAAUUGACGGGGGCCCGCACAGCGGUGGAGCAUGUGGUUCAAUUCGACGCACGCGAAGAACCUUACCUGGGCCUCGAAAUGCAUG
Molecule: ribosomal RNA, 950 nt
Filed under: uncultured bacterium
Lineage: Bacteria
Description: bacterial SSU rRNA
Rfam family: Bacterial small subunit ribosomal RNA
Source: RNAcentral